UAACAUUUCAAUGGAAAGCAUGAAUAAUCAAUUCAUCCCGAAUUCCAUCCUGCAACAAGAAUAACAUUUCAAUGGAAAGCAUGAAUUACCAAAUCAUCCCUAUAUCCCACAUAGCAAGUACAAUCCCUAAUUUCCAUUUAUUUUAUCAAGAAGCAUGGAAAUGGAAGGUAUUGUGCAAUGGCCAUUUCAGUAGCUCUAUGGAGGAAGAACCAUAAGCCUCAGGCGAAUCUUGCUUUGCUUUGUUGUGUUUAUUCAAGCCAUGCAUCUACAUGUGCCAAGCACAAAGCACCCCAUGUGUAAGAUAUCAAGGGUGUUCAUUAUAUCAAGAAGCUGUUUGUCAAGUCUGCACUUGUUGUUUGGAAUAAGCUGUGCAGGUCAUGUCGUCUUGGGCUAGCUGUUCAAUUACUCAUUUGUCAAGCAUUUAAGAACAGGAAAUAGAAUAACACGUGAAGAGCUAAAGAUGGAUGGUGACACAUAUAGCAUUUAUAGUGCAUAUAUACACCGACACAUGGCAUAUGUGAGGCGCUUGAAGAUUGACAAUGGCACAGUAGUACAUGCAGGUUUGUGAACAUGAAUAGUGGUACAUGCGGAUCAUUACACAUGUGAUGCAUGUUUACGUACAAAAUUAUGUUUUUACAUGCACUGUACUAAAGAUAAGCUUUCUUCGGGCUAACAGAGAAAUUUUAAAUGCAUGGUGUACUUAUUUUCCUUGAUUCAUGUGGUAAAAGGGAUUUUAAAAAAUCAUGCAUACAGUAUCUCUCCAGAAUGACUAGUGCAACACGCACCCUGACUCCGGCCGAAGGAAGGCUCAACAUUCCUCACCAGCUGUGUGACUGAAGGAGUGAGAUCUGCUCUCUGCAUAAUAGUCCAAGUUCUGCCGUCCAUUCCAUCACCCACUGGACAAAUUUUGAAAAGAAGGAAAGGCCUGAAUUAUGGAGCUGAAGGUCAUUGAGCCCUGCAAACAUGCUAGUGUGGACCUUAUGCAAGAUCCCGCUUGCUCAUCAGGUGGUGGGCCCAACAUGAAUGUGCCAUAGUUCGAACAUCAGUCUGUACGUUAAACAGGUCAACGACAUGUGUAUGCAGAUACGUUACCCAUGUAUUGAUCUUGUGCCCGAUUUACAUAACAGUGAGGACCAGCCGUUUGACGGCCAAAAUUUGUAGAAUCAUUGCAUUGGCCCACUUGUACAUUUUUUGGACGACCAAAACAUUAGCCAACCAUUUUAUUUUC
Long non-coding RNA from Magnolia sinica, 1228 nucleotides. RefSeq lists it as uncharacterized. The record is from RefSeq and is a predicted model, not a curated record. The transcript has 4 exons. NCBI's taxonomy places the organism in Eukaryota, Viridiplantae, Streptophyta, Magnoliopsida, Magnoliales, Magnoliaceae.